UUAUAUUUACCGUAUUUUCUGGUGUAUAAGACGACUUUUUAACCCAGGAAAAUCUUCUCAAAAGUCGGGGGUCGUCUUAUACGCCGGGGGUAGUCUUAUACGGCGAGUAUAUCCCAAACUCUAUAUUUUAACUGGAAAAGUUGGGGGUCGUCUUAUACGCCCAGUCGUCUUAUACGCCGGAAAAUACGGUAUAUGUUUUAGU
Molecule: long non-coding RNA, 202 nt
Organism: Elgaria multicarinata webbii
Lineage: Eukaryota; Metazoa; Chordata; Lepidosauria; Squamata; Anguidae
Exons: 2
Source: RefSeq, a predicted model, not a curated record